GAUGAACGCUGGCGGCGUGCCUAAUACAUGCAAGUCGAGCGAACAGAUGAGGAGCUUGCUCCUCUGACGUUAGCGGCGGACGGGUGAGUAACACGUGGAUAACCUACCUAUAAGACUGGGAUAACUUCGGGAAACCGGAGCUAAUACCGGAUAAUAUAUUGAACCGCAUGGUUCAAUAGUGAAAGACGGUUUUGCUGUCACUUAUAGAUGGAUCCGCGCCGCAUUAGCUAGUUGGUAAGGUAACGGCUUACCAAGGCAACGAUGCGUAGCCGACCUGAGAGGGUGAUCGGCCACACUGGAACUGAGACACGGUCCAGACUCCUACGGGAGGCAGCAGUAGGGAAUCUUCCGCAAUGGGCGAAAGCCUCACGGAGCAACGCCGCGUGAGUGAUGAAGGUCUUCGGAUCGUAAAACUCUGUUAUUAGGGAAGAACAAAUGUGUAAGUAACUAUGCACGUCUUGACGGUACCUAAUCAGAAAGCCACGGCUAACUACGUG
RNAcentral lists this ribosomal RNA (497 nucleotides) under uncultured bacterium. Its description in RNAcentral is "partial 16S ribosomal RNA". It matches the Rfam family "Bacterial small subunit ribosomal RNA", at positions 28 to 507 of the family's 1533-position model. The record is from RNAcentral.